UCGAAGACAACGAUCUGUGCAGUCAAAACAAAUCACUGCGGUGUCUUCCCGCAUCCUAUGCAUGUUGUGUGCCACGAUUCAUUAUCGGGUUGAAGGACAGUAUCGAUGACGUAACAACGGCUGGUGUAUCCCUGUGUUGAGCUUUGAGGUACAAGGCGCCUCACCACACGCAGACAUGAAACUAGGAAAGCGGUAAGUGCCGCGAUACGUCCAUUUGCAUGUUCAGGGUAGGGUUCAGGUGACGGUGCGAAACCGGGAAGGUAGGGUAACCGUGAGGAUUACCGUAAGCAACCUGCCAUAAGUCCUAGCUGCUAAAGUCCAAGUACUUGAUGGAGGUCUUUGGGGAAGCUGGCUAAGAUUUGGAGAGUCACACUCCCGGACUGAUGAUGUUACCUUCUCCAUACCGAAGUGUGCCCGGAAAAUGUUCGAAACACCACCACUGCACAUGCACCAAAUCCCCCUCACAACCCCUCCUCCGCUCUCCUCCCUCCCCAAAUGCUUGGUUGGGGUCAAUGCGCCAUGCCAGCAAUGGUGCUCGUGCAUGCGCUGUGCAGUGCAUAGCCACUGCAAAUGAAUACUCUUCAUGAACACUAAAAUGUUAUUCUGUGUGUGUGUGUGUUACAUGGUUGGGGGUGCGUGACCCCAUACCUGUAAAACUACCCAUACGAGCCAAGGGCAAUAUCUAUACGCCUACAAGCCACGGAGAACAGGAAACACCGCGCAUCAGCCCAGACUAGCAUCCAAAGGGGGUAAUUGAGUUUCGGUGAGCCCACAUACAUUCCAACAUCCUCGCCAUAUGUACUGGUUCCCAUUUCAUGGCCUCCAACAUGCUCUGUUGAUGAUUGAAUCCCUCCUCAGCACGAAUAUCAUUAUAGGCUGGGCAUUCCAAUAACACGUGUUUUUGGGUGAGGCCCCGGGCGCGAAGCGCCAUUCGGGGGGCC
Molecule: long non-coding RNA, 941 nt
Filed under: Volvox carteri
Lineage: Eukaryota; Viridiplantae; Chlorophyta; Chlorophyceae; Chlamydomonadales; Volvocaceae
Description: long non-coding RNA (VCAR_LNC002609)
Source: RNAcentral